UACAGGGGGGGCAAGCGUUGUUCGGAAUUACUGGGCGUAAAGCGUGCGCAGGCGGUUCGUUGUGUCGGCGGUGAAAGCCCCGGGCUUAACCUGGGAACGGCCGUUGAAACUGGCGAACUGGAGUGUGGCAGAGGGGGGUGGAAUUCCGCGUGUAGCAGUGAAAUGCGUAGAGAUGCGGAGGAACACCGAUGGCGAAGGCAGCCCCCUGGGCUAACACUGACGCUCAGGCACGAAAGCGUGGGGAGCAAACAGG
RNAcentral lists this ribosomal RNA (253 nucleotides) under uncultured bacterium. Its description in RNAcentral is "partial 16S ribosomal RNA". It matches the Rfam family "Bacterial small subunit ribosomal RNA", at positions 524 to 776 of the family's 1533-position model. The record is from RNAcentral.